Molecule: ribosomal RNA, 765 nt
Filed under: Triticum aestivum (bread wheat)
Lineage: Eukaryota; Viridiplantae; Streptophyta; Magnoliopsida; Poales; Poaceae
Description: partial small subunit ribosomal RNA
Source: RNAcentral
GAAAUUCUAGGGGAUCCUCCACCACCCAAGGGUGAUCCCGUGUUUGAGCUUAACCCACUCCCUGCUACUCUUAAAUAUGAUUAUCUUGAUGAGAAGAAUAUAUAUCCUAUUAUUAUUAGUGCUAACCUUUCAGAGCGGGAAGAGGAGAAAUUAUUGAAAACUCUGAAAAAGCACCGUGCUGCUAUUGAAUAUACUCUUGAUGAUCUUAAGGGCAUUAGUCCCACUCUAUGCCAACACAAAAUAAAAUUGGAGAAAGACGCCAAACCAGUUAUUGAUCACCAACGACGGUUAAAUCCUAGGAUGAAAGAAGUGGUAAGAAAGGAAAUACUAAAGCUCCUGGAGGCAGGUAUAAAUUAUCUCGUUGCUGAUAGUCAGUGGGUAAGUCAUGUCCAUUGUGUCCCUAAGAAGGGAGAUAUUACUGUCGUUCCUAAUGAUAAAGAUGAAUUGAUCCCACAAAGAAUUGUUACAUGUUAUAGGAUGGUAAUUGAUUUCCGCAAAUUAAAUAAAGCCACUAAAGAGGAUCAUUACCCUUUACCUUUUAUUGAUCAAAUGCUAGAAAGAUUAUCCAAACAUACACAUUUUUGCUUUCUAGAUGGUUACUCUGGUUUCUCUCAACUACCUGUGUCAGCAGAGGAUCAAGAAAAGACCACUUUUACUUGCCCUUUCGGUACUUUUGCUUAUAGACGUAUGCCUUUUGGUUUCUGUAAUGCACCUGCUACCUUUGAAAGAUGCAUGAUGGCUAUAUUCUCUGACUUUGGUGAAUAG